This is a non-coding RNA of Bombyx mori (domestic silkworm), 84 nucleotides long. The record is from Rfam. NCBI's taxonomy places the organism in Eukaryota, Metazoa, Arthropoda, Insecta, Lepidoptera, Bombycidae.
UUAACUCAUAUUCGUAUGGAAUGGGGUCGUUUGCGUACGUUUGCCGCUAGGGGCGCUGUUCCAACUCCAUACAAAUUUGAGUUA